CCGGGGUACAGGUAUAUCCGACCAACAUAUGUAAUGCCUGGGACAACACAAUUUCAGCAGGUUUAUGGUUUUCCCACAUAUAUAUACGUCAUUAGCAAUAUGUUUAAGAAAUACAGGGACGCAAUCUUCUACUUCUUUUGAAAUCAAGACGUAACCAUGAGUCCAGUAAUGUUUAUCUCUGAAACACAGAUAAUCCUCAUUCACCUGGAUCAUGAACUCUCCGUAAACAUCCCUGAAUACACCACUGUAUACCCAAUCGUAGAUAAAUCUUGUGUAUGGUU
RNAcentral lists this long non-coding RNA (281 nucleotides) under Gallus gallus (chicken). The record is from RNAcentral. Lineage: Eukaryota; Metazoa; Chordata; Aves; Galliformes; Phasianidae.